UAGGCCAAUCAAAAAGGUUCUUUAUUAUAAACCAAACUAUGAGGGGACACGAACAACAGGUAUAGGCCAAUCAAAAAGGUUAUUUAUUGUAAACCAAACUAUGAGGGGACACGAACAACAGGUAUAGGCCAAUCAAAAAGGUUCUUCAUUGUAAACCAAACUAUGAGGGGACACGAACAACAGGUAUAGGCCAAUCAAAAAGGUUCUUCAUUGUAAACCAAACUAUGAGGGGACACGAACAACAGGUAUAGGCCAAUCAAAAAGGUUCUUUAUUAUAAACCAAACUAUGAGGGGACACGAACAACAGGUAUAGGCCAAUCAAAAAGGUUCUUUAUUAUAAACCAAACUAUGAGGGGACACGAACAACAGGUAUAGGCCAAUCAAAA
Molecule: long non-coding RNA, 386 nt
Organism: Oncorhynchus keta (chum salmon)
Lineage: Eukaryota; Metazoa; Chordata; Actinopteri; Salmoniformes; Salmonidae
Exons: 3
Source: RefSeq, a predicted model, not a curated record